CAGAACAAAGAAAGUCAAAUCUGGGAUGGCAUUAGGGUCCAUCAAUGGCUGUGCCUCAUUUGAAAGGCUUCGUCAUCCGAAGGUCGGAAUUCUCGGCCACAUACGUCAUUGAGGAUGUCUCUUUUCAUAAAAAUGGAAAAGAAAACAUUUGCAGUGGUGGAAUUUGCAGAUGACAGUUCGGUGGAAAUCAUCCCAACCACAUGGCUGGAGGAGACCA
Long non-coding RNA from Xyrauchen texanus (razorback sucker), 217 nucleotides. RefSeq lists it as uncharacterized. The record is from RefSeq and is a predicted model, not a curated record. NCBI's taxonomy places the organism in Eukaryota, Metazoa, Chordata, Actinopteri, Cypriniformes, Catostomidae. The transcript has 3 exons.